AUUGAACGCUGGCGGCAUGCCUUACACAUGCAAGUCGAACGGCAGCGGGGGAGAAGCUUGCUUUUCCUGCCGGCGAGUGGCGAACGGGUGAGUAAUACAUCGGAACGUGCCCUGUAGUGGGGGAUAACUAGUCGAAAGAUUAGCUAAUACCGCAUACGACCUGAGGGUGAAAGUGGGGGACCGCAAGGCCCCAUGCUAUAGGAGCGGCCGAGGUCUGAUUAGCUAGUUGGUGGGGUAAAGGCCUACCAAGGCGACGAUGAGUAGGUGGUCUGGGAGGACGAUCAGCCACACUGGGACUGAGACACGGCCCAGACUCCUACGGGAGGCAGCAGUGGGGAAUUUUGGACAAUGGGCGAAAGCCUGAUCCAGCAAUGCCGCGUGUGUGAAGAAGGCCUUCGGGUUGUAAAGCACUUUUGUCCGGAAAGAAAUGGCUCUGGUUAAUACCUGGGGUCGAUGACGGUACCGGAAGAAUAAGGACCGGCUAACUACGUGCCAGCCGCCGCCGUAA
This 508-nucleotide ribosomal RNA is filed under the name uncultured bacterium. Its description in RNAcentral is "partial 16S ribosomal RNA". It matches the Rfam family "Bacterial small subunit ribosomal RNA", at positions 30 to 523 of the family's 1533-position model. The record is from RNAcentral.